AGGGUGUAAACGCUGCAGACUUGGUGUUGGAAAUCCUUCGAGGGUAUUCAGUGCCGGAGAGAAGUUGUUAAGUCUGCUACUUGGGGAGUACGUCCGCAAGGAUGAAACUUAAAGGAAUUGGCGGGGGAGCACCGCAACGGGAGGAGCGUGCGGUUUAAUUGGAUUCAACGCCGGACAACUCACCAGGAGCGACGGUUACAUGAAGGCCAGGCUGAUGACCUUGCCUGAUUUUCCGAGAGGUGGUGCAUGGCG
This 252-nucleotide ribosomal RNA is filed under the name uncultured archaeon. Its description in RNAcentral is "partial 16S ribosomal RNA". It matches the Rfam family "Archaeal small subunit ribosomal RNA", at positions 748 to 999 of the family's 1478-position model. The record is from RNAcentral.